CAGUCGCCGCGGUAAUACGGAGGGUGCAAGCGUUAAUCGGAAUUACUGGGCGUAAAGCGCACGCAGGCGGUCUAACAAGUCAGAUGUGAAAUCCCCGGGCUUAACCUGGGAACUGCAUUUGAAACUGUCAGGCUGGAGUCUUGUAGAGGGGGGUGGAAUUCCAGGUGUAGCGGUGAAAUGCGUAGAGAUCUGGAGGAAUACCGGUGGCGAAGGCGGCCCCCUGGACAAAGACUGACGCUCAGGUGCGAAAGCGUGGGGAGCAAACAGGAUUAGAUACCCCUGUAGUCCCUGUCUCUUAUAU
RNAcentral lists this ribosomal RNA (301 nucleotides) under uncultured bacterium. RNAcentral describes it as "partial 16S ribosomal RNA". It matches the Rfam family "Bacterial small subunit ribosomal RNA", at positions 509 to 809 of the family's 1533-position model. The record is from RNAcentral.